UGUGAAGUAACAGAAAUGUUCCAAUUCCAGAGUUAGCAGCAAUGAAAUGUCUCUGAUCCAGCAACCUGCUGAGAGUGCUUAUUGAACUGGGUGCUGCUCUGCUUGAGGCACAAAAGUAUGAGUGAACAACUUGCUUUUUCCUUAGGUCUGGUUCAUAGAGCUUUCAUUUGUGUUGUCCAGGCCUAUGGACAUACUGGAGUACUUAUCCACUCCCCAUCUCUACAUGCUUGGAAGAUGAUAUGCAGCUUGUUCCUGUCCUGACCAAGGGAAUGCUUCUGCAUCCUUCAAGUCAAGUGCACCUGUGGUGUCAGUUCUGUGUCGAAAACACUGUGGUUAGGAAAGAGACUAAGCCAACUGGAAAAAAAAAUUGUAGGUGAAGUGGCGUAGGUACUUGCAGCAUGAAAGGAAGAUUCAAAGGAGAUGAAACAAGCAAGAAGCAAGGGAAAAAGACAACUGCCACCCAAAAUGUAGCAAUGGGGAAACCUUCUAUAUGGUUUAUCACUUUCCCAGAGGCUAAGAGCCAUGUGCAUACUGCAAAGAGCAAGAGGAGGAUUCUUGUCUCUCCAGCCAGCUGAUACUCAGGUACAUGACAAAAAUAUGAAAUGUGAAAUGCUUGUGAAAACUCAAGAUAUUUUCCAUUAAGACAGUGUUAAGUAGCUGUUAUUGAUAACAAAUUAAGAGUACUGUAGAGUAAUUCUUCCUUAGAAAUGACAUUUGGAGAAUUUUCUUCUUAGGACUUCUCCCUCAUGCAUAGUUUCCAGGGGUUCACAGGCCACCUAUGGCAUUACUUGUUCUCAUGUAACCCUUCUGCUACAAAAACCAUGAGGUGCUAUCAGCAGCCUCCUGACUUUGCUGGUAUUGAGUAAGUACCUCUCCACUGGCACUUUAUGCAGCUACUGUCCCUCAACUGACUGGUGGUAAUUGCUGCUGGGCGCAGCCUACCCAGCUGUCCUUCUGGCACCUGCAGGAGACUGGUUGUAGCUAGGACAUGUGCUUCACAUGCAGGAUGGCCUAAAGAAGGACCAAGAAGGGAGCCCAACUUUGGAGAGCCAGCUGUUGGAAAAACAGACAAAAGCUAUAGGAUUUAGGAACCCCAUACCACAGGUAGCUUUCUAGAGAUUACCUCUGAUAGAUCAUUUAUUUUUCACAUAAGAAACUCUUCAUUGCAAUACACAGAGCUGAGUUUGCUGUUGGAACCAUGACUUGCUGGUGUGUUAACAAUUUUUGGCAUUGGAAGUAGAACAUAUAAAACUGAUUGGUGUUGAAGCUUAUGUCUGGGGGAAAAAAAAAAAAAAAAAAAAAAAAACACACCACAAUUCAUAUCUGAUCUCUUGCUCAGCUUUUACACUUGGGAGGUCUCUGGCUUAUGGUAACCAUCAGAUAAAAUUGGCUGCCAAAAUCAAAAGUCAUAACAAUCUACUUCGCAAACAUGCCAGAUUUGCUGGAAGAACUAAUGCUUGGUCUUCAGAUAUCUGCCUAUACUCUCUUUGUUACUCAGUAAAAGAAUAUUGUGUUCCUGGUUAGGCUUGCUUCUCCCCAUAUUCAGCUGGACCAUUUUCUUUGUCCUGCCUGAGA
RNAcentral lists this long non-coding RNA (1575 nucleotides) under Anas platyrhynchos platyrhynchos (common mallard). RNAcentral's name for it is "lncRNA (ENSAPLG00000027949.1)". Lineage: Eukaryota; Metazoa; Chordata; Aves; Anseriformes; Anatidae. The record is from RNAcentral.